This 28-nucleotide small RNA is filed under the name Bombyx mori (domestic silkworm). RNAcentral's name for it is "ovarian small RNA-19696". Lineage: Eukaryota; Metazoa; Arthropoda; Insecta; Lepidoptera; Bombycidae. The record is from RNAcentral.
UAAUCUCGUGCCGACGACUUUCGGCCUC